GACGAACGCUGGCGGCGUGCUUAACACAUGCAAGUCGAACGGAAAGGCCCUGCUUGCCGGGUACUCGAGUGGCGAACGGGUGAGUAACACGUGGGUGAUCUGCCCUGCACUUCGGGAUAAGCCUGGGAAACUGGGUCUAAUACCGGAUAGGAGCCAUUUUUAGUGUGAUGGUUGGAAAGUUUUUUCGGUGUAGGAUGAGCUCGCGGCCUAUCAGCUUGUUGGUGGGGUAAUGGCCUACCAAGGCGGCGACGGGUAGCCGGCCUGAGAGGGUGGACGGCCACACUGGGACUGAGAGACGGCCCAGACGCCUACGGGAGGCAGCAGUGGGGAAUAUUGCACAAUGGGCGCAAGCCUGAUGCAGCGACGCCGCGUGGGGGAUGACGGCCUUCGGGUUGGAAACUCCGUUCGCUAGGGACGAAGCUUUUUGUGACGGUACCUAGAUAAGAAGCACCGGCUAACUACGUG
This 465-nucleotide ribosomal RNA is filed under the name uncultured bacterium. RNAcentral describes it as "partial 16S ribosomal RNA". It matches the Rfam family "Bacterial small subunit ribosomal RNA", at positions 28 to 507 of the family's 1533-position model. The record is from RNAcentral.